Molecule: long non-coding RNA, 149 nt
Organism: Gavialis gangeticus (Gharial)
Lineage: Eukaryota; Metazoa; Chordata; Crocodylia; Gavialidae
Exons: 3
Source: RefSeq, a predicted model, not a curated record
UCCCUGUUUUUUAAGGGUCUCCUUAAUGCCUCCUGAUGUCAAGCCUGAACCUGAUCUCAAUCAAUUUGUGAUGGUUAUUCCUUGUUAUCCCAGGUGGUGCCCAGGGGAACAGAGUCUCACCUAUUUUCUGCUGGUCCCCCCAGUGAGUU